Long non-coding RNA from Pecten maximus, 397 nucleotides. RefSeq lists it as uncharacterized. The record is from RefSeq and is a predicted model, not a curated record. The transcript has 2 exons. Lineage: Eukaryota; Metazoa; Mollusca; Bivalvia; Pectinida; Pectinidae.
GGGGGGGGGGACCAAACAACAAGGCAAGUUUGACUGUUUCCUCUCUGUCCAUCUUGCACGUACAUGUAUGUAGGUAUAUAUGUAUGUAGGUAUAUACAUGUAUGUAGGUAUAUAUGUACGUGAUGCCAAAUUGUGUCAGCGCUCUAGCAGCUUUGUUCCUUGAGGGAUUUGAUCAAACUUCACACAAUGACAAAGGAUCAUAAUAUCUUAGACAUGGUCAAGGUUCAGAGUUUUUGGGUCAAUACUAUUUUUACUGGGGUCAAUAGGGGACAGGUAUCACUUGAACUCAACAAACUGUUGUUUACAUUAUGUUCAUGUUUAUUGGCCCAGGUAGAGGGGGAAACUGCCUUACAUUAGAAAAUUGGUCAAAAUAAAAUACAUAGUAAUAUAUACAGUG